RNAcentral lists this ribosomal RNA (252 nucleotides) under uncultured bacterium. RNAcentral's name for it is "partial 16S ribosomal RNA". It matches the Rfam family "Bacterial small subunit ribosomal RNA", at positions 524 to 776 of the family's 1533-position model. The record is from RNAcentral.
UACGUAGGGGGCUAGCGUUAUCCGGAAUUACUGGGCGUAAAGGGUGCGUAGGUGGUUUCUUAAGUCAGAGGUGAAAGGCUACGGUUCAACCGUAGUAAGCCUUUGAAACUGGGGAACUUGAGUGCAGGAGAGGAGAGUGGAAUUCCUAGUGUAGCGGUGAAAUGCGUAGAUAUUAGGAGGAACACCAGUUGCGAAGGCGGCUCUCUGGACUGUAACUGACACUGAGGCACGAAAGCGUGGGGAGCAAACAGG